Molecule: transfer RNA, 84 nt
Organism: Brevundimonas abyssalis TAR-001
Lineage: Bacteria; Pseudomonadati; Pseudomonadota; Alphaproteobacteria; Caulobacterales; Caulobacteraceae
Rfam family: tRNA
About the family: Transfer RNA (tRNA) molecules are approximately 80 nucleotides in length.
Source: Rfam
GCGGUCGUGGCGGAAUUGGUAGACGCGCAGCGUUGAGGUCGCUGUUCCCUAACCGGAGUGGAAGUUCGAGUCUUCUCGACCGCA